RNAcentral lists this long non-coding RNA (969 nucleotides) under Equus caballus (horse). RNAcentral's name for it is "lncRNA (ENSECAG00000059632.1)". Lineage: Eukaryota; Metazoa; Chordata; Mammalia; Perissodactyla; Equidae. The record is from RNAcentral.
CUCACUCAAAAUCGCAACAGCUGCCUGUACCUGGACAGUGACAGACCUCCUACAAACUGAGGACAUGAACAGAGUUCACAGAAAGAAAAACGCAAAUGCCAAUAAAAACAUUGAACCUCAACUGCAUCAAAAUCAGAGAGAUCAACACUAAAGCAACAAAUACUGCACACCUUUUAUGUAUCAAGUUGGCACAUUUAAGGAGUUCAAACUUUUCCGAUGACGAAAAGGAUGUGCAGGUGAAAGCAUUCUCCUUCAUUCCUGUGAUUGACUAGAGAAAGAUUAGUCUUUUCAACAAAUAGCACUGAAGCAAUGGGACAACUAUAGGUAAGACAAUGAACUUCAAAGUACCCCUCAGACAUUAUGUCAAAAUUAACUGUAUAUAUAUAUGUGUGUAUAUAUGCAUGUGUGCACAAUUGUAUGUGUGUGUGUAUCUGUAUGUAUGUAGUAUGUUUCUAUAGGUACCAUUGUACAGAUGAUUCUUAAAAGAGAGAGUUUUAGAGGUGUAGUGGAAAUAAAUGAUUAACUUUAUGUAACUAUUGUGUAAUUUCAGUGGUUAAGUAAACAUUUAUUCCUUUCGUUAAAAAAAGAAUCUCAUAAGCUAAUACUUCUUAUACGGGCAUGUGUGUUUUGGAAGAAUGUUACUUCCACAGAAACAUAAAUAUAAAUGUUACCAUACACAGAAUGACGUUUAAAGAAACGCUUUUUAAUUAUUAUUUAUCUGUGAUUUUAGUCUUCAGGACAUGAUGAGAAUUGAGGAAAUUUCAGGAGUUUCUUGUCAAUUACAGAAUUCUAUAAGUUCUUAGCUUUAGGUAGAUUUACAUUUGUAAUGAGCUAUCAGCUUGAACAAACUUCAAAAUAAUCUGUAAUAUUUCAACCCAAUAUUGAGUGAAAGCUGAUUUUAAAAGCAUAAUUUUCUUCAGCAUAUCUUAUCGAAUUAGUGGAGCAUAACUAUAUUAAUAGCCACAUAAU